RNAcentral lists this ribosomal RNA (447 nucleotides) under uncultured bacterium. RNAcentral describes it as "bacterial SSU rRNA". It matches the Rfam family "Bacterial small subunit ribosomal RNA", at positions 29 to 521 of the family's 1533-position model. The record is from RNAcentral.
AGCGAACGCUGGCGGCAGGCUUAACACAUGCAAGUCGAGCGGGCACCUUCGGGUGUCAGCGGCAGACGGGUGAGUAACACGUGGGAACGUACCCUUUGGUUCGGAACAACUCUGGGAAACUGGAGCUAAUACCGGAUACGCCCUUAUGGGGAAAGGUUUACCGCCGAAGGAUCGGCCCGCGUCUGAUUAGCUAGUUGGUGAGGUAACGGCUCACCAAGGCGACGAUCAGUAGCUGGUCUGAGAGGAUGAUCAGCCACACUGGGACUGAGACACGGCCAGACUCCUACGGAGGCAGCAGUGGGGAAUAUUGGACAAUGGGCGCAAGCCUGAUCCAGCCAUGCCGCGUGAGUGAUGAAGGCCUUAGGGUUGUAAAGCUCUUUUGUCCGGGACGAUAAUGACGGUACCGGAAGAAUAAGCCCCGGCUAACUUCGUGCCAGCAGCCGCCGU